This 253-nucleotide ribosomal RNA is filed under the name uncultured bacterium. RNAcentral describes it as "partial 16S ribosomal RNA". It matches the Rfam family "Bacterial small subunit ribosomal RNA", at positions 524 to 776 of the family's 1533-position model. The record is from RNAcentral. RNAcentral also lists the same sequence under 1 other name.
UACGAAGGGGGCUAGCGUUGCUCGGAAUGACUGGGCGUAAAGGGCGCGUAGGCGGUUUGUUUAGUUAGGCGUGAAAUUCCUGGGCUCAACCUGGGGGCUGCGCUUAAUACAGGCAGACUGGAGUGUGAGAGAGGGUUGUGGAAUUCCCAGUGUAGAGGUGAAAUUCGUAGAUAUUGGGAAGAACACCGGUGGCGAAGGCGGCAACCUGGCUCAUUACUGACGCUGAGGCGCGAAAGCGUGGGGAGCAAACAGG